Molecule: long non-coding RNA, 1007 nt
Filed under: Monodelphis domestica (gray short-tailed opossum)
Lineage: Eukaryota; Metazoa; Chordata; Mammalia; Didelphimorphia; Didelphidae
Description: lncRNA (ENSMODG00000049577.1)
Source: RNAcentral
CCUUCACAUAGUAAUCACUUGUUAAAUCGUUUCAGUAAUGUCUGACUCUUCAUGGUCCUGUGUGGAGUUUCUUUUGGCAAAGAUAAUAGAGUGGUUUACCAUUUCCUUCUCCCAAUCGUUUUACAAAUAAGGAACUGAGGCAAAAAUGGUUAAGUCAUUUGUCAAGGGUCUCAGCUAGUAAAGAGUCAGGCUGGAUUUGAAUUCAUGAAGAGUCUUCCUGAUUCUGAACCCAGUGCUGAACCCACCAUACCACCUACUUACUUAAGUGAUUAAGAAAUCACUUAGUAAACUGACUGACUGAAAGGAUAAGAGUUAAGAAUGACUAUGAGGUUCCAAAUCCGGCAUUGUUAAAGGAACUUGGAACACUCAAUAGCAAAAGGGAAGCAUCAGUAAGGGCUAAGUUAUGUGGGUUAACCUGGAUCAGAAAUAAUAAAUAAUAUUUUGGACAUAUUGAAUUGAAGAUGACUAUGGAACUUUAAUAGAUAGUUGAUGAUGUGAGGCUUUACUCAGGAGAAAGAUCAGAAUUUGAAGAGGAAGGCAUUGUUAUUACAAUGAUAAAUGAACUCAUUCUAGGUGGUUUUUAAACUGGGCUUGAAGUCAGAGAAACUAAUGAAAGAAGUGAAGGGAGAGAUUAUUCCAGGCAUGGAGAAGAGCCAGUACAAAGGUCCAAUCUGCAUGUUACAUUCUCAUCAUAUUCUAAGCGACUUCGUGUAGCUGCACUUACAAGGAGGAGUUUGGAGUCAUUAAAGAAGUAUCACAAUUUUCAAAAGGCAAUGUAUUCCACUCACUGUAUCCUGUUUAAUUUGACUUUCAACUCAUUGAUCAUUUGUUCUUCUUGAACUAAUCAUAGUGUUGCAAUCAGAACAUUGUCAAACAGGAGUAUCUGGAGGAUCUUUUGUCUAUUUGAACUUGGCAGGAAAUUUUCCAGUUUCCAUAGUUCCUUUGUGCAUGUUAUGCAAAUAUUUGUCUCUGUUAUACUUCACAUGAUAUUAGUAAUUAAAGGUGGA